UCCAUUGCCCACCUUGUUCACG
RNAcentral lists this microRNA (22 nucleotides) under Spodoptera frugiperda (fall armyworm). Its description in RNAcentral is "sfr-miR-10494-3p". Lineage: Eukaryota; Metazoa; Arthropoda; Insecta; Lepidoptera; Noctuidae. The record is from miRBase by way of RNAcentral.